GUUAGGUUGUACAAUUGCCAGGCUACAGUUUCAGACUUCACAGAAACGUAAUUCAUUGUUCUGUCAUGGAAUUUCCUUAGUUUUAUUUUUUAAACCAUGUUUCAGGAGUUGCCGUUUGACAGGAGUCUAUGCAGACAUUGCAAGGUUCAUGUCACAGAGUGGGCUGCCCUUUCAAGGGGGGCUAGCUCAGCCCCACCGGUGCCUAGUUAUCCACCUCCCAGAUGGGGUCUAGGCUGGGCUUUCCAGCAAAGGUGGGUGAAGUCCCCUGUCUAUUGCCCUGCUCCAACAGCACAUAAUGGACUGCUGAGCCCAGGAGAAGGCUACAAGAGAAGCUACAUCCAAGAGAGGGUGAAAAGUUUAUGUGGCCUGCCAGCCAUCUUGCUUUCACUCAAGCAACAGGCACCAACUUAGCCAAACCGUCUAUCCAUCCUCUCUGUCUCUGAGCAGCAAAGUGAGCAUUUUGCAAAGCCAGACCACCGAUGGAGACGUUCCUCCCAGUUCAGUAUCAGUGGUGCCUACAUCACCUCCUGCAGUUGGGGGCAGCAGAUCUUUACAUGGAGCUCUUGCCAGGGGAGACAUGGGCACUGAUUCCAUUCUCAGACCUAGUCUCCCACUUCCUGGGUGCUGGGAGUGCUACAGGGGCUGGGUCCAGCACUGCCUUGUGGACAGUCCCUGCAGGGGAGCUAGGUCCCAUUCCCUGUUUCCAUCCCUUUCUCCCUGGGAGCUGGGAGAGCUGCAUUGUUCAUUAAAUUAUUAAUAAGCCAAAGCUCCCCUUCUAUAC
This is a long non-coding RNA of Mauremys reevesii (Reeves's turtle), 781 nucleotides long. RefSeq lists it as uncharacterized. The record is from RefSeq and is a predicted model, not a curated record. The transcript has 5 exons. Lineage: Eukaryota; Metazoa; Chordata; Testudines; Geoemydidae.